This 815-nucleotide long non-coding RNA is filed under the name Nicotiana tabacum (common tobacco). Its description in RNAcentral is "long non-coding RNA (NTAB_LNC019171)". Lineage: Eukaryota; Viridiplantae; Streptophyta; Magnoliopsida; Solanales; Solanaceae. The record is from RNAcentral.
CCCUUUCUUGCGCUAAUGCCCUUCCAUUCCUCGUUUCCUUAUAAUCGGCGUUCUCAGAAGACAAAUUAAAAUCAAUAAAGAGCUAAAAUUAGAAAAGAGAGAUUUAAAGCAAACUGGAAGGAAGGCAAACAGUUGCAGAAGUUGAGUUAGGGUGCCUCAAACAAGGAGACCUCUGUUUUGCUAAUCUAUUGCAGGUAUUCAUUUCCUUAUUUUGUAUCUCUAUGGUAUUUUCUGUGUGUGUGUGUGUGUGUUUUUAGUGUUUAUUGUGCUUCAGAAGAACUUUUUGGUCAUAUUGUAUUGAAGAUAGAAUAAAAUUUAGAAUCUUCGUUUUGCAAUGUAUAACGUGAUCCAUAGCAAAUGCGAUUGCCGAUGCACUGUAUAUCAAUUCAAACUAUAUAAUGUUUUUUCUGUAGGAAGUACCAAAUGGACACAUUGGUCGAAUACUACUGAGUGAAGGUCAAGUGUUUGAUUGAAUUGUAUUCAUUGUUUUAGGGGACAGAGGUUAUUUCAUUGUAUGGAUUCACUUCCACACUUUACUUUCCUGUUUUAGGGAUUAUAUGCUUUUUAAGCGGUUAGUUUUCUGCCAAACGCUAUGCAUCGUAUACUGCAUAUCAAUUCUAACUGUAUAAUAUUUUUUCCUAUAGGAAGGAUCAAUUGGACACAAUGGUCGAAUACAACAGAGUGAAGGUCAAGUGUUUGAUUGAAUUUACUAAAGGGUUUAUGCGUAGGUAAGGUCAAACUUCUGUUAUUGAUUCGAAGAAAUGAUCAAAAGAGCUUUAUUUGCCCGAGAAGUGGGCGUUUCCAAUGAUAAUGCA